Molecule: ribosomal RNA, 267 nt
Filed under: uncultured Thermovirga sp.
Lineage: Bacteria; Thermotogati; Synergistota; Synergistia; Synergistales; Thermovirgaceae
Description: partial 16S ribosomal RNA
Rfam family: Bacterial small subunit ribosomal RNA
Source: RNAcentral
GCCAUCGGGCGAGCCGGGCACUCUGGAGGGACUGCCGGCGACAAGCCGGAGGAAGGUGGGGAUGACGUCAAGUCAUCAUGGCCCUUAUGUCCAGGGCGACACACGUGCUACAAUGGCCGGCACAGCGGGAAGCGGAGGGGCGACCCUGAGCGGAUCCCUUGAAAGCCGGUCCCAGUUCGGAUUGCAGUCUGCAACUCGACUGCAUGAAGUUGGAAUCGCUAGUAAUCGCGGAUCAGCCAAGCCGCGGUGAAUACGUUCCCGGGCCUU